Molecule: ribosomal RNA, 853 nt
Filed under: uncultured bacterium
Lineage: Bacteria
Description: bacterial SSU rRNA
Rfam family: Bacterial small subunit ribosomal RNA
Source: RNAcentral
GUAGGCGGCUUUUUAAGUCAGUGGUGAAAUCCUGCCGCUUAACGGUAGAAUUGCCAUUGAUACUGAAAGGCUUGAGUUCAGUUGAGGUAAGCGGAAUGUGUAGUGUAGCGGUGAAAUGCUUAGAUAUUACACAGAACACCAAUUGCGAAGGCAGCUUACUAAACUGACACUGACGCUGAUGCACGAAAGCGUGGGGAGCGAACAGGAUUAGAUACCCUGGUAGUCCACGCCGUAAACGAUGUUCACUCGCUGUUUGCGAUACACAGCAAGCGGCCAAGCGAAAGCAUUAAGUGAACCACCUGGGGAGUACGAUCGCAAGGUUGAAACUCAAAGGAAUUGACGGGGGCCCGCACAAGCGGAGGAACAUGUGGUUUAAUUCGAUGAUACGCGAGGAACCUUACCUGGGCUUAAAUGUAGAACGACAGAUUGUGAAAGCAGUCCUUCUUCGGACGUUUUACAAGGUGCUGCAUGGUUGUCGUCAGCUCGUGCCGUGAGGUGUCGGGUUAAGUCCCAUAACGAGCGCAACCCUUAUCGUUAGUUGCCAGCGGGUCAAGCCGGGGACUCUAGCGAGACUGCCACCGUAAGGUGUGAGGAAGGUGGGGAUGACGUCAAAUCAGCACGGCCCUUAUGUCCAGGGCUACACACGUGUUACAAUGGCCGGUACAAAGGGCAGCUACUUCGCGAGAAGAUGCUAAUCUCGAAAGCCGGUCUCAGUUCGGAUCGAAGUCUGCAACCCGACUUCGUGAAGCUGGAUUCGCUAGUAAUCGCAUAUCAGCCAUGAUGCGGUGAAUACGUUCCCGGGCCUUGUACACACCGCCCGUCAAACAAUGGAAGCUGGGGGUACCUGAAGUCU